Molecule: unclassified non-coding RNA, 468 nt
Filed under: uncultured Basidiomycota
Lineage: Eukaryota; Fungi; Basidiomycota
Description: sequence contains ITS2
Rfam family: 5.8S ribosomal RNA (bases 1-149)
Source: RNAcentral
AACUUUUAACAACGGAUCUCUUGGCUCUCGCAUCGAUGAAGAACGCAGCAAAUUGCGAAAAUUAAUGUGCAUUGCAGUACGUGAAUCAUCGAGUCUUUGAACGCAACUUGCACUCUAGGUUCUCCUAGAGUAUGCCUAUUUGAGUAUCGGUACACCCCACUCGAACCCCCCUCGUGGGUGGUUUGGAUCCGAUGAGUCAUGCGUGUGUAUUGUGUGUAGCACACACACACACACACACACACUGACUUGAAGUGUACACUGAAUCGGGCCUAUGUAUACUGUACAUGCGGCGCUGACGUGAUAGUCUCACACGUUUGGGAACUCGUCAGCAGGCGGCACACACAUGUGCUGCCACGCGUGUCGGUCAUAGUGACCCAGUCACACACACACACAACACUACACACAAAUCUCGAUCUCAAAUUAGGUAGGACUACCCGCUGAAUUUAAGCAUAUCAAUAAGCGGAGGCU